Lagopus muta (rock ptarmigan) is the source of this 1984-nucleotide long non-coding RNA. RefSeq lists it as uncharacterized. The record is from RefSeq and is a predicted model, not a curated record. Lineage: Eukaryota; Metazoa; Chordata; Aves; Galliformes; Phasianidae. The transcript has 3 exons.
GGGGGAAGGAUCUCUUUCUGGAGGUCACUUCUUUGGAGUUUUGCAGUGAGCCCCGGGCGAUGGUUCGGGCUUCACUGAAUCUGUAAGAUGGGGGAUACUUGUAUGAUGUUGAUUAUGAGAAGUUUCCUUUAAGCAUCUGUUUCCCAAGAAGCAAGCUCACAAUUUUCCAGACAUCUGUAGACCCUGGUGUAAUGCCGUAACAGGAUGGAAAGUACCACAGUAAUACAGGAUAGCAAAGCUUUUUACUACAGCAAAUGAGAACAAGCCCAAGUGCAGCAACCACAGAUACAGAAAUGAAGGAAAAGAGCUAGUUACCUUUGGAAGACCUGAGGUAGGCAAGGACCUCCAACAAGUGAUGCCCUCACCUCCACUACCAACCCUUAAAUCAAGUCUGAGAAGGGGUAGAUCCUGGCUCCACUCCUUCCAGUCGUUCAGCUGCAUUGCAUGCACCUCAGCUCCCCUGGGCUGGCCCUGCAUUCCCAUCAGGUGCUCAACCACUGGGUCAGGCAUGGUUUCUCAGCCCAUCAGAAAACCUGCUCUCAUUUAGCUUGCUUCCUUGCUCUUUCUCUUGUUCAUAGCUAUGCUGUUUCAGAUUUGCAGCAGCUCUGGAAGAGUGUAAGAGGGAAGGGGGAACAGUGGGAUCAUGUAUUUGACUUUGUACACCAUUGACCUUUGCUCUUUUCAGUGACUUGUGAGUUCUUCAGGAUACUGGUGCCUUCCCGCAGAUUUAAAUGAGCUCUACUCUGAGUAAACAGAAACACAAUUUUUAUCAUAAUAUGUGGUUAAAGAAGACCUGCAAAGAAUUCAUGCUUAUAAGUAACACUGAAAAGAUAUAUUCUGAAGUACAUGCAUAGAUAGGGUUUUUGCAGUAUAAACAGGCUCUAUAUAAGUGUGAUAACUUUCAGAAAAGCAGGCAAACACUGAUUAGGUCUUUUUUACUGUUUUGCUUAAGGUUUGGUGGCAGUGAUGUAAAAAAUAACCAAGCCUAGAGUAGGGUAAAAACAAAACAAAACAACAACAGCAACAACAACAACCUGCACACAGGAAGAUUGAGAGGGUGUUUGAAGGAGAAGAGUGUUACUGUUUUCAUGGUUUCUGAGGAUCACGCAAAUCACAAUUUUUUUCUAAUGCUAUAUCCUAUUUUUGCUUUGAAAAUCUAUAUAAAAAGAAAUGUAAUGCUACACUUUUAAGCACUGAGCCAUUAUAAAAGGAGCAAUGACUGCUCAUGCAAUUCCUAUUUCUUCUCCUGUACAAGUGCUAAAAAUGGCUCGAGAUGCAUUUCCCAGCAUUCUCAAUGAAGUUCCUGAACACUCACGAAGGUAAGCAAAUGAUGUUAUGCCUACCUCAAAAAAAGGCUGAUUUUUCUCCUUAGUGUAAAUGCAAGCAUUGGAAAUGCAUGGGUAUUUGAAACUAUGAAAUUUACAUUCUCAGCAGCUUUGCUGUUCAGAGUAACAAGGAACUGUAAUUAGACACUUUAGACUUUGAAAAUAAUUUCAAAAAUCUUUCUAAAAGCCCUUACAUCAAAGAGCAUGAUUAACUGUGCAACACGUAUUUCAGCUUGACAAGAGAAAAAAGUCCUCAAUAUAUAGGGGAAAUGUUAGGUCAGGGCUUGAACUGGUGAAUGAGCGCCUGGGGAAGGGCUGUUGGUGGCCCCAGGAGUGCAGGCAAAUAAUUUACACCUGUGAUAUUUGUGUGAUCAGUAGGGCUAGACCACCCUGGGUUCAUUUAAGUCCCACCUGCUGAAGAGAGGAAAGCUCUUUGAUCUGGGCUGCUUCUUGCAAAUGGGUGUUGUAUAGCUAAAGAGUCCCUUCACUGGUUGGAUGAGCGCAACUCUUCUUUUUGUAUGUGGCUAUUGGCCUGUCUCUAAAUAGUUGGCUUGGUAUUGUCAAGAGCAUGUCAGAACCAAUUUUACUUCUUUCUGUGCUGAACAAUUACAUAACUGAAUUACAUUCUAAAUGCUGAAGAAUGGUGAAAAAUAGGCAGG